This 538-nucleotide ribosomal RNA is filed under the name Pseudopimelodus sp. LGC671. RNAcentral's name for it is "partial small subunit ribosomal RNA". It matches the Rfam family "Bacterial small subunit ribosomal RNA", at positions 657 to 1402 of the family's 1533-position model. Lineage: Eukaryota; Metazoa; Chordata; Actinopteri; Siluriformes; Pseudopimelodidae. The record is from RNAcentral.
UAAAGCUAAAGAGUCCCUAAGCCGUCGUACGCACUCCGAGAACUCGAAACCCAAAAACGAAAGUAGCUUUAAAACACAUUCACCUGACCCCACGAAAGCUAAGAAACAAACUGGGAUUAGAUACCCCACUAUGCUUAGCCAUAAACCAAGAUGUAAAUUUACACACACAUCCGCCUGGGUACUACGAGCACAGCUUAAAACCCAAAGGACUUGGCGGUGUCUCAGACCCACCUAGAGGAGCCUGUUCUAGAACCGAUAAACCCCGUUAAACCUCACCACUUCUUGUCUUUCCCGCCUAUAUACCGCCGUCGUCAGCUUACCCCGUGAAGGCCUAAAAGUAAGCAAAAUUGGUACACCCAAAAACGCCAGGUCAAGGUGUAGCGAAUGAAGUGGGAAGAAAUGGGCUACAUUUUCUACACAACAGAAUAUUACGGACGACACCUUGAAAUACAUGUCUGAAGGUGGAUUUAGUAGUAAAAAGGAAAUAGUGUGUCCUUUUGAAUUAGGCUCUGAGACGCGCACACACCGCCCGUCACUC